Molecule: long non-coding RNA, 262 nt
Filed under: Lathyrus oleraceus (garden pea)
Lineage: Eukaryota; Viridiplantae; Streptophyta; Magnoliopsida; Fabales; Fabaceae
Description: Pisum sativum (pea) long non-coding RNA (PSAT_LNC031527)
Source: RNAcentral
UAGAUCGAGGUUUUAAUUUGCACUUGAAACGGAAAGGGAUUUGGAAAUGAUUUUGAAAAAUGUACUUGAUGUUAAUCAAGCUCCUUUGAUUUUAUUAUUUUUGAAAGAUUAAUUUUAAUAGUCAUUUUGUUUUUUUGGAUUAACAAUUAUGCAUCACCUAACAAUACAAUAAAAUAAAUUAAAAAAUAAAACAAUAAAAAAAGGUAAAAGAAAUAAUAAAAGGGAUGGGACACACUAUUAAUACAAGAGGUAAAAGAAUUAA